Long non-coding RNA from Hemicordylus capensis (graceful crag lizard), 1435 nucleotides. RefSeq lists it as uncharacterized. The record is from RefSeq and is a predicted model, not a curated record. NCBI's taxonomy places the organism in Eukaryota, Metazoa, Chordata, Lepidosauria, Squamata, Cordylidae. The transcript has 4 exons.
UUGGGGUCAGUGGGUAGACCAGUCCUCUGAAGAGGGCAGACGCAGCAGGCUGGUCUACCAAUUUUUAGACCAGCUCUCCCCGAAAAAAAACAGGAGAGUUGGUUUAGUUAUUGGGAUCAGUGGAUACAGCAGCCUUCUGCUCUGGACUUAGCAUGUCAGCCCACCUUGGGCAACUGGUCUAGCCAGGUAGAUUGUUCAUUCAGGGGUUGUAGUGAAUGAAUGGAUCAAGCAAGAAGAAAGGCAGCUGUGGUUGCUGGGGUAUAUAAGGGCAGAACUGCCACAGAGGGUAUCAUUUUUGUUUUUUAACAAGGGAAGUGGGGUGAAGGAGAGGGCACUGGCCUGCUUGAGCCGGGGGCAUAACAAGGUUGCUGGCAGCCCCAGGACAAAUUGCUGAGGCCGCUGAGGCCAGGCAUGCUAUCCCAUGUCAGCCACACUCGUUUCCCCUUCUCAUUCUUCACCAGCUGGAUGCUUCCUUUUCCUCCCACAUUUGCUGGAGGGGGAAGUGGUGUGGCCAGUGCAGGGUAGAGUACCUGGCCUCAGCAGCAGGGGGCAGUGGGAAGAAUGGCGGGAUAAAAGGGUAAUGGAGUACAGGGGGUUUAGAAGGCACAUUGGUGGCCUCCGGACCCCUAUGGCCCAAGGAUAUUUGUCCCCCAACUCCAUUAUCCCUAUACACCUGGCAUGAGCUCUGAAUAAUUUAGAGUAACUUGGAUAUGAGUAUUAGGGUCAAGGACAUUUUUGCAACAAGUCUAAAAACAUCUCCUCCCCACACUAUAUGCUAGCACCCCAGCUACAGAGCAACAAUAUGUGAAGGUUCAGGGUUGGCAACCAGCCCCAAUCCUGAGUCCUUUAGUGCUAUAAAGCACAGUGUGGGAAAAGUUUCAGGUGGGAAAGAAAGAAAUGGUCCUUUUUUGAACCCCUUAGGGAUGCUACAACAUUUGUGUUUCAGGCUGACUGGAGCCCUAAACAGGAGCAGACCUAUAUGCUGGUGGGGAUACAACAUUUUGCUUUCUGGUCACCAUACCUUAAGAAGGACAUUAUAGAAUUGGAGAAGGUGCAGAAGAGGGCAAUCAAGAUAAUCAGGAGUCUAGAGCACCUUCCUUACGAGGGAGAGGAGUUCCAUGCAAGACAACAGAAUCCAUUGUGAGAUGAACUUAGUCACUUUAGGAAUAGAGAAGAAAAGAAAAUUCGAUCUUUUUUCACCUCCUUCCUGCUGCUGAGAGAAUCACUGCCUGCCUGUGCCUGCUGUCAGUGCCAGCCAACAGCCCCAGAGCCCCUGUGGCCACUGGCCACCUGGUCAGCCCCCCCGAUUUUCCAGAUUUUCCCAGGCCCCCCCAUCAGAAAACUGAAGAAGGAGAAGAAGACUGAAGAAGAAAGAGUAGAUUCAGAGACCAGACCACAGAAGUGGAAAACUGGACACAACGUGGGUGAAGCCCUA